UUUCACUUAUGUUUCAUCACCAAAAUCCUGGGCCUUUGAAACAAUUUUUUCUCUGUCUCCACAGGUGGUGACUGAAAUCUGAGCUUACUUUUGUUUUACUUCAGAGCCUCCUCUCCGUACCUCACUAUCAUUUGCUGAGCAGCAUACAACCUAUGACACGCGUCCAAGGUGUCACACGCAAAAAUCUUGCCAGCACAUGACAUGUAACGCCACCCCUCAAUUCGUUAAACUGCACCCAUAAUAAAAAGAGACGCGAUGUUUAUCUUUGCUGCUGAAUGAAGCAGCAAAUGAUUUUUACAACCCAGGAGCGGUAAGAUGUUUUCACAGGAUACGUCUCAUCCUGGCUUAGUGCCAGCCAGACGGUUUCAAGAACACAUAAUGUUGGACGAUACUUUCUGAAAUCCUCACACACCUGGUGUACUCAUCAGUAUUCGGUACAUCCUUUUUAUAUAAGAAGACUGAAAUUAAGCACAAUACUCCAGGCCCACGUUCUACAAAAGGCUCCAGUUUAAUUUGGCCUUCCAGUUUUAAGGCAGAAAUUCCAGCUGCAGAGCUAACAAAGGUACAACAAGCCAAGGAUCCUUCCUCUGUGCCCAUGAUUCUAUAACACAUCCUCAGCUCCCUCAAUACGGUCUCCACUCGGAUUUGAAAGGAUCAAAAUCUGUAUGUUGUUUUCAAAUUGUUAGCUCACAGUGAUGCUUAACCAACUUGCUGUCUGCAAUCCCUCAUUACACCACCUGCUGAAAAGUGACUGUGUGACCAUUGAUGUAGUGCCCUGGAUUCCCUCAGCUGAUUCAUAUGGGAUUAAUGUGAGAAUUAAAUCCUUCCACUUUCCAGUAUUAGUUAUUGUCUUUCUUCCAUCCCUGAUCCCUUAUGGUAAAUGAAUCAGGCUAUCAAUAUCCAUUCCAUUUUAAAGAUCUGUGGUCAUAACAUCAAAAUUGAUAGAAGAAGAACAAAAAGGACAACGCACUCAUUAUAUUAAAAAAAAAAUCAGCCAAGAAUACGUGAUAAAACAAUACUCCAUUUUAACUUGCAAUACAAGGCCCAAUUUGUUGCAACUUUCUGAACUGAUUUGAAAACAGAUAGCUCUGGCCUCCACCAACAAAAAAGAAACUUUGAUUGCAAGACUACAAGUUGUAACUUUUAAUACUAAAGUUAUCUUCUGAAGAGACCUUUUCUCAGA
Hypanus sabinus (Atlantic stingray) is the source of this 1183-nucleotide long non-coding RNA. RefSeq lists it as uncharacterized. The transcript is spliced from 3 exons. The record is from RefSeq and is a predicted model, not a curated record. NCBI's taxonomy places the organism in Eukaryota, Metazoa, Chordata, Chondrichthyes, Myliobatiformes, Dasyatidae.